CUGAAAGGAUUACUAAAUCCAACAGCUGUCCAGCCCUUCAUGCAAGCACUUCUGGUCCUUCCGCCCCCUCACAAGCUGGUGUUGUGGCUCAAUGUGUGCCAUUGCCUGGGCAAUGCUCAGUCAGCACCAGUGGCAUUGAGGCAGUCAGGGCUGCAUCCCUGGAGGAUGGCUGCAAUGUCAUGGUGGGGAUAGCAGUGUUCUGACAGCAGAUCCUUCAACUGCCCCAGAGGAGCUCACUUCUGGACUGUAGUCAUGGAAACAGCUACGGAAGGCAAAGUCGGUGAGAACUUCUUACUAAUGUACUGGAAGGAUAAAUGGGAACACUUUUAUUUUAGCGGUUGUCACAGAGCAUGGCGUUGCCAGACGGAGCCGGAUUUGGAAAGCGGCCAUUCGUGGAUGUUUGGUUUGAAACAAACCCCACGGAUGUUACUGGAUCGAGAACAGCACAGAAUCCAUAACGGGAGUUGGAAUUGAAGGAGACAAAUGAUUUGGCUUCAAUAGCCCUUAAUGACCUCCCGGGAGGAGCUGUGCAGCACUGAGGCCAUGGCUGUGGUGCUCCCAGAAAUGCCAGUUCCCUGUGUGCGCAUCUCAUCCAAGCGCUGCUUAUGAGCACUGGAGCUUCCAGCUAUAUCCCUGAUCAACACUAGAUGUUGCUGUGCUGCUACUCAUAUCACCUAUACAUUAGCCAGGCUUUUAAAUGCUAUUUACUGCCAUUUCCUCUUUCCUGUUUCUGCUAUUCACACUGUUCAGGAUGUUGAUCUGCUACUUUAAUGUUCAUUCUGUUUUAUUUCUGCAAUAUGAAGUCCAUAACCCACUUGAAUGUACACGUGAAAACUUUAUGAGCAACAAACAGACUCUUGUAAGUGAUAAAGUGAAG
Molecule: long non-coding RNA, 877 nt
Filed under: Coturnix japonica (Japanese quail)
Lineage: Eukaryota; Metazoa; Chordata; Aves; Galliformes; Phasianidae
Description: lncRNA (ENSCJPG00005014276.1)
Source: RNAcentral